AAUCAUGUCAGAUUCAAUGUGUUGCUACUGUCCAGAGAAGUCAAAAGCAGCCUGAGAAGCAGACCUGGAUAAGGUCAGCAACUGGUCUUCUGCGGAGAGAUACAGAGGUGAGUAAGCAAGUUUUCCAGCAUCAGCAGAGGGUGGAGAAGGCGAGGGAGAUAGCACAGACACCGCACCUCUGCAUAGAUUCACAUCUGGACGCGAUGAGCACCCGCCAGGCGGAAAACUCACAGGUGGCCCGGAGCCGCCGAGGAGGGAGGCGCGCGCUCCGCCCCGGGCCGCGGGAAGUCGCUCUCCUCAGCGGCCGCGCGACGAGCGGGCUGGGGGCGCUGCACGCCGCUCCUCGCCGCUGCUUGCUUGCUCGCCUCGCCUCGCGCGAGCCCGGCUCCCGCCCGCCCUUCCUCCCGCCCGGCUCGCGCCGCCGCCGGCCAAUGCGGGCCGCAGCGAGGAGCCGGCUUUAACCAUCUGUUGCGAGGCGCCUCCUCCUAGCGCUGCCGCCUCCCUUGCGGGGGGCUCCCGCCCAGGCACCCCUCCGAGGAGACAGAGAGCGAGGGGAGAGCUUUAUGCCUCGCUAAGGUGCUCUCUGCCCCCCGGAGCCUUCGGGGGCCGCGGCUGUUGCCCGUCUCCCUUCCCCCACGCGCCUCGCGCUCCCAUCCCCCCGUCCCCUCAGCGCCCUUCCCGCCGUCCGCUCGCCUCAGGGCGGUCCCUCCUGAGUGCCUUCGCUGUGAGGUACCAAAGAUACGUGUAAGGAGAUGCUCUUCACACAAGUACUUUGCAUGCUGUCAAUAUAUAGACAUCAGAGAAAGAAUGGCUAGGACUGGAGCAAUCCGGAGACAAAAAACUGCCCCCAGAAGCAGUCAGCGAAAAUACAAAUAAUUUGUUCAGUUGUACAAGUCUUGACAGAACCCAAAAGCAUAUACAGUCUUCACAGGUAGCUGUUGAUUGCUGAGACAGAGAGAAAGAAACAUACAAUACAAAACCC
This 982-nucleotide long non-coding RNA is filed under the name Gallus gallus (chicken). The record is from RNAcentral. Lineage: Eukaryota; Metazoa; Chordata; Aves; Galliformes; Phasianidae.